GACGAACGCUGGCGGCGUGCUUAACACAUGCAAGUCGAACGGAAAGGCCCUGCUUUUGUGGGGUGCUCGAGUGGCGAACGGGUGAGUAACACGUGAGUAACCUGCCCUUGACUUUGGGAUAACUUCAGGAAACUGGGGCUAAUACCGGCUAGGAGCUCCUGCUGCAUGGUGGGGGUUGGAAAGUUUCGGCGGUUGGGGAUGGACUCGCGGCUUAUCAGCUUGUUGGUGGGGUAGUGGCUUACCACGGCUUUGACGGGUAGCCGGCCUGAGAGGGUGACCGGCCACAUUGGGACUGAGAUACGGCGCAGACGCCUACGGGAGGCAGCAGUGGGGAAUAUUGCACAAUGGGCGGAAGCCUGAUGCAGCAACGCCGCGUGCGGGAUGACGGCCUUCGGGUUGUAAACCGCUUUCGCCUGUGACGAAGCGUGAGUGACGGUAAUGGGUAAAGAAGCACCGGCUAACUACGUG
This 468-nucleotide ribosomal RNA is filed under the name uncultured bacterium. Its description in RNAcentral is "partial 16S ribosomal RNA". It matches the Rfam family "Bacterial small subunit ribosomal RNA", at positions 28 to 507 of the family's 1533-position model. The record is from RNAcentral.